RNAcentral lists this transfer RNA (75 nucleotides) under Actinoplanes regularis. Its description in RNAcentral is "tRNA-Arg". Lineage: Bacteria; Bacillati; Actinomycetota; Actinomycetes; Micromonosporales; Micromonosporaceae. The record is from RNAcentral.
CCGUCGAUUGAGGAGGCUCGGCUCGCCUGGUCGCGGGCCGGGCCUCCUCGCGCGUUCAGGUCGCCAUCGAUGGGC